Long non-coding RNA from Vespula pensylvanica (western yellowjacket), 856 nucleotides. RefSeq lists it as uncharacterized. The record is from RefSeq and is a predicted model, not a curated record. Lineage: Eukaryota; Metazoa; Arthropoda; Insecta; Hymenoptera; Vespidae. The transcript has 2 exons.
AUAUAUAUAUAUAUAUAUAUAUAUAUAUAUAUAUAUAUGAUUAUUUCUCUAUAAGAAAAAUAGAGUGGGAUACGAGAUAUAUUCUUUUGAUCUCUUUUUUAUAGGUUCUUCUAUAUUUAAGGUAUAAGUGGGCUUCUCUCUAAGAAUAAAAAUUCUAUGAGUUAUCUUUCCAAUUUGAAUCACGUAUUGUAGAUGCGUCCAUUAAGUAUUUAUAUACAACCUAUACAGAAUAUAUUCUAUAUAAGAGAAAAAAUUUAUUUUCAAAAGUGAUCUUGUUAGUACAAUUUCGUGUUUUUUAAUUUCAUAAGAAUCUUAAGCAAUAGUAAUAAUUAUAAUAAAUAAUUUUAUUAACAAAUCAAAUAAUUUAAGAUAACCAAACUUCUUAUCAUACAAUACAUGCCAUUGGAAAUACAUUCUUCAUAUAUCAACAAAUUUAAAGUAAAAGACAAUAUUAUAUUUUAAAUUCUAAUUCUAUAUCCGAAUAAAUAAUAUGGUGAUAUAAAAGCAUUGUCUCUAUAAACCUAUUGAUAUUAAUAUCAGUCAAGAGACAUUAACAUCUUGUUAAAUAACCUUUGCAAAAAAGAAAUAUAAUACUUUUGAAAAAAUGGAACCCAUAAAACCCAUGAAGUUAAUAACAACAUUUACAAUCAUUAUAACUGUAAUACACUCUACUUGGUAUCUUUUUCGAGAGAAGUAUGUGCCGAAAAAUGAACAAGGCGAUAUCCCAAUUGUUAUGAUGUUUAAACAUCUUACAGGACAAAAUGAGAAGAAAAGAAACAGUGAUAAAAACUAAUGUAUAGUUAAUUUAAAAGAAUGUAUGAUUCUUUGUAAUAUAAUAAAUAAUUAUAUGGGAGAA